Ornithodoros turicata is the source of this 5867-nucleotide long non-coding RNA. RefSeq lists it as uncharacterized. The transcript has 5 exons. The record is from RefSeq and is a predicted model, not a curated record. Lineage: Eukaryota; Metazoa; Arthropoda; Arachnida; Ixodida; Argasidae.
ACGCACAGUUAUGUUGCACCAAUAAACAGCUCGUUCGUGCAGAAUAAACAGUUCGUUCCAAGCUUUUGGUUGUCCAUACGUGAAACGGGCUGCGCCUGAGAUGGAAGAAGAAGAAUUAUUUUAACAGCUCGGAAGAAGAAGAGUCCUCGUUCAGCCGCAACUUCUACUUGCGAGUGCCUUCCUUAUCUAUAGGAUGUCGUGCUCUAGCCGGCUGACUCGCCGCUAGCUCUUUACCACACACACUACAACACCAUUUCCUGCCCUGGCCAAACGCCCUUUGUGGCUGGCGGCCACUGCCACCCUGGCUGAAGAAGAAGAAGAGAAGUCGGUAACGGCCACUGCCCCGAGGCAGAAGAAGAGAUCAUCGAACGACGAACCGUGCCGUUGUGAAGGAACCAGUUAGUUGGAAUCCCACCGGCGACUCAACUUGUGCGAGCGCUCCCACGGAGGUUACAGAAACGUCCACAGACCAUGAUCCAGCGACACUAUGCUCCGGCCAAGGCAAAGCCGUGACGUCGCGGAAGCUGGCGUUUGUUUUGCUUCCGAUGACUCGAAGAGAAGGGAAUGCGACGACGACGACGACGGUGAAACAGCACGGUCCUUUAAAAAUGGUCUUGCCGCAGUUCAUUUGAUCGUUCGGGCGUCCGACGCCGAACGAAGAGUGCUGCUUUUUCACAGCACAUUUGCUCCACGGAGGUGGAUCUUGUCAUGGGCUUCAUCCUGCGCCUACCAGAUAAGUGAUAACACGGCGUUCUGUAUUAUAGCAUUGUAUGUGGUACUUCAACCCAAGGCAAUUUAGGUUCACUGGCACACAUUUUUGUUCCAACUUUGGGUGGAAUAUGAAGAUACCGAUGUUAGACAUUAUGGCAAAACAGUCCAGAACAGUUCCGCCGGACGACGAUUUCAGUCACGCUUAAGGGUAGCACGUUGAGCACGUUUGGUGUAACGUACCCAUAAAGGCGGACUAAAGAACAGCUCAGCACACUCCGCGAAAACUCUUCUCUGCUGCGCGUUGUUGGUGCAACCUCGGGUUAGCCACUCAUUGCUGACAAGGCAGUUUGUUACGAGUCUAGAAUUUGGUGUGCUAACCAGGCAACCAAUUCGUCCAGUGACACUUGAGCAGAUAAGGGAAAUUCAGACCGGACUUCCGGCGGAUCGCACCGUACGGGUUGAACCCAGAGGGUGGAGACGACAGAAGCGCUUCAAGAGCGUGAGCGAGCUCUGUGAUGUUUGUCACCUGUACCUUCUCUGCCUUUCAUGCAUGAAACCCAUAUAAGCUGUCACGAUCUUCUUCGCUACCUAGCAGUUCUGUAUAGUACUGGUAGUCCAUCCUCCUCAUUUUCCUCUGACUCUGCCUCUAUGGCUAGGCGACACAAUUUAGAUCGCCAUGAUCGACCAGCCAUGGCAGUCCGACCAUGGCAUUCGGGUUCCGGCCGUACUCUCAAUUAUAUUUGCGUUGCUGUUUUGCCCUACGGUUUGCAUACUUCAAACGCUUACACAGAGUGCUCGAGCUUGCACAUUCACGUGCAGCUCCAUAGCGGGUUGGGCACUUAAUAUUCUGUAUUCUUAGUUCCUCGUGUAGGACCUUCCCUAGAAACGUCAACUCUCUUUUUCUUCUUUUGCGCACAUUCUUCGUUUUCCCCUUCGAGUACACCAGUCCCAUUUUUAUCUUGUGACGAAACCACGGGGCCACCAUGCUACGGGGCUAUAAGUGUUACUUCAAACGAUAUGUCAGUAAGGCCUUAUUGGUACUGCGCGGAUUGCAACGACAAAAUGCGUCAUUCGAGUGUAUGCUCGAAAUCCUAAGGAAUGGCUUACAUUUUAUUAGUAUAAACGCGCACGCUCUUCGCGUGUUCUGCAAGGCCCUUGCUCGGCAGGGCUAUCGAACGAAAUGUGUUUUCUUUUUUCAAGUUUGGAUGUUUUUUCAAGCACAUUACGACAACUAUACAGUAAAGGACAAUAUUCCAAAUUAAAUGUUAGCAACAUUAUAUCAACCACUUCAAACACAGUUCGCUGUUUUGCUUGGUCCUUCUUUCAACAGUCCCUGUGCCAUGUAUUACUAGGGAGCCUGGUCCUUAAGAUUGGCUUGACCUGUCUAAAGUGAAUUGAAAGUGGCCCUAAAGUGGCUUUACCUGUCACACAAACUUAAGCGCAUUUCAGGCGUAUUCUCCUUCGUCUGGCACGCGAGUGCAACCACAAGGGUUAGAGAGGCCUUAGGGGACGUGUGUGGGUCUCAUAAGUUACUGCAAGCAGGGGUCUCAAGUGACGAAUGGAUACGCCGUAGUGACGAAAUGUUUCAUCUGCCAAUGAAGGUAACUUCAGGGAUUGUUUCACUGCAAACCGAAUUUUUAUCUCAAGUAGCAUUGUGCAACGUACAGUACAAGAGAUUAACUUCAUAUCAGAUGGAAUCAGAUACAAUACAAGAAAUCAGAUUGAUAUUCGAUGGAAUCACAUAAUGGCGCGAUUUAACCGUUCCAGCACUGCUAUGGCUUCUGUUGCGCAAUCCAACAGCAAUAACUAACACCAACACCUUACUUUCCCAUAUACGGUUCAUUUUAGAAAAAUGCAGAACACAUUUAGUGGAUUUUAGAUGAACAGCAGGGCAGCUGUGUUGCGCUAAAAGAAACAUAAUGCCACCAGAGAAGACUACACAACAGAGUAUUUCGGGUCAUACGACUUCAUACUUUAGCUUAGUUUCUUCGAUCACAAGCAAUGUAUCUGGCGCUUUACCUUGGUUUUCAGUGUUUGAAAGUUGACCACCCUGAUCAGAGAUGCUGUUGUCCAUUUUCUCUGAAAUGCAACACUCCGCUCGUGUCGGACGCCACCGUUUGACAUGGCGCUCGGCUGAGCGCAAUCCAAUACCAGUAACUAACACCUACCCUUUACUUUCCCAUAUACGGUUCAUUUUAGAAAAAUGCAGAACACAUUUAGUGGAUUUUAGAUGAACCGCAGGGCAGCUCUGUUGCGCUAAAAGAAACAUAAUGCCACCAGAGAAGACUACACAACAGAGUAUUUCGGGUCAUACGACUUCAUACUUUAGCUUAGUUUCUUCGAUCACAAGCAAUGUAUCUGGCGCUUUACCUUGGUUUUCAGUGUUUGAAAGUUGACCACCCUGAUCAGAGAUGCUGUUGUCCAUUUUCUCUGAAAUGCAACACUCCGCUCGUGUCGGACGCCACCGUUUGACAUGGCGCUCGGCUGAGCGCAAUCCAAUACCAGUAACUAACACCUACCCUUUACUUUUCCAUAUACGGUUCAUUUUAGAAAAAUGCAGAACACAUUUAGUGGAUUUUAGAUGAACCGCAAUGCAGCUCUGUUGCGCUAAAAGAAACAUAAUGCCACCAGAGAAGACUACACAACAGAGUAUUUCGGGUCAUACGACUUCAUACUUUAGCUUAGUUUCUUCGAUCACAAGCAAUGUAUCUGGCGCUUUACCUUGGUUUUCAGUGUUUGAAAGUUGACCACCCUGAUCAGAGAUGCUGUUGUCCAUUUUCUCUGAAAUGCAACACUCCGCUCGUGUCGGACGCCACCGUUUGACAUGGCGCUCGGCUGAGCGCAAACCAAUACCAGUAACUAACACCUACCCUUUACUUUCCCAUAUACGGUUCAUUUUAGAAAAAUGCAGAACACAUUUAGUGGACUUUAGAUGAACCGCAGGGCAGCUCUGUUGCGCUAAAAGAAACAUAUUGCACCAGAGAAGACUACACAACAGAGUAUUUCGGGUCAUAGGACUUCAUACUUUAGCUUAGUUUCUUCGAUCACAAGCAAUGUAUCUGGCGCUUUACCUUGGUUUUCAGUGUUUGAAAGUUGACCACCCUGAUCAGAGAUGCUGUUGUCCAUUUUCUCUGAAAUGCAACACUCCGCUCGUGUCGGACGCCACCGUUUGACAUGGCGCUCGGCUGAGCGCAAUCCAAUACCAGUAAAUAACACCUACCCUUUACUUUCCCAUAUACGGUUCAUUUUAGAAAAAUGCAGAACACAUUUAGUGGAUUUUAGAUGAACCGCAGGGCAGCUCUGUUGCGCUAAAAGAAACAUAAUGCCACCAGAGAAGACUACACAACAGAGUAUUUCGGGUCAUACGACUUCAUACUUUAGCUUAGUUUCUUCGAUCACAAGAAAUGUAUCUGGCGCUUUACCUUGGUUUUCAGUGUUUGAAAGUUGACCACCCUGAUCAGAGAUGCUGUUGUCUAUUUUCUCUGAAAUGCAACACUCCGCUCGUGUCGGACGCCACCGUUUGACAUGGCGCUCGGCUGACCGCAAUCCAAUACCAGUAACUAACACCUACCCUUUACUUUCCCAUAUACGGUUCAUUUGACCGGCGUACUCGCUGCCCUCCAUUGCAUUCCAUCUGGUUCGUUAGAAUAUUUGUUGAUCUCUUGAUGCUUUAGAAAGAAAUGUCCACGCAUGGCCCUAGGAGAGGCCCUUCGAUGGUGUACUAGUGGAAUGGAAGCGCAAGAGCGUCACAGUUUUGUUCCUGGAGGAGUUAUUUUCGCUGUUUUGGCUUCAUGGCAGAAUGCACUGGUGUGCUAUUCUUGUUGUACUUGGCCAGAACAAUGGGUUCUCCAGAAAAUAUUCAUGUAGGGCAUGAAAGUUGAAUUUGUCUUGUACGCUUUGCAACUUUGUGCGCAACUGUGCGCAUUUUGUCUCAAGUAUUAACAAGCUCAGUGUGGCUUGCAAAGAGUCUGUUGCCAGCGUUGCCCAGGGAAUACAUGAUUGAUUCGAUGGACGGGAAGGGAUAAAUCAUGUAUUCCCUGGGCAACGCUACUGUGUUUUCAACGCUUGAUUAUAGCACAAGGUUCUUGCAGAUCCAAGUUGCCCCGGAGAAUGUCCCGAAGACAGCCUUUACCUGUCAUAGGGGUCUGUUUGAGGUCGUACGGAUGCCUUUCGGUCUGUCUAACUCACCAGCCAGCUUCCAGCGGUUGAUGGACACUGUAUUAGGAAAUGCGAAGUACAAUUUCGCGAUGGCGUACAUGGAUGAUGUCGUAGCGUUUUCCAGAAAUUUUCAGGAACACUUGGAACACCUCUCAAUCGUCCUUGCAAGGAGCAGGUGGGGCUAACCAUUAACCCCGGCAAGGUACAGCUGGCAUCGCCUAGGAUCAGCCUUUUCGGCUUCGUGGGGGACGGAGGAACCAUCAGUACUAGCGAUGACAAGCUAAAGGCUAUCAUGGAGUUUCCGGUUCCCGGUAACGUAGUCAGUGCCAGGAUUGCACGGCACACCAUCCUCAAGUUGACUUUACCGGCGUACACCCUGCCCUUCAUGGAAGCUAAGCAUUUCACCUGGAAUAUUUUUUGGCCCUCAGUGUUAGAAAGACGUGUCAACAUUUAGGUAUUCAAGGAGAGCUGCCAUGAUGGUGUACAAUUGGAAUGGAAACUCAAGUGCGUCAGUUCAAUGUGCGUUCAAGUCCGUCAAAGCAAUGUGUUACACACAAAAUGUCGUCCUCUUCGAAAGUGAUGAAGUCACGCAUGAAAGGCGAACCUGUCUUCUACGGUUCUUUUAGUGCAGCUGUAGUGUGCCUCAGAUUUUUUUUGCUUUUUUUUCUACGACGAAAGAAGUAACAACUGCUCAGUGUGCCUUCCGAAGCGGCUUCAUCGUGGUCCCUCAGGAUGCAACAUAUCGGGCUGUUGGUUCAGUUGUGCCGAUGUAGAUUCUAGCGUUCAUGUUCCCUAGUUCAAUCUGAGGGUCAUGCCUUUCUUCUUUUUUACGAAGAGCGUUUCGAGACUAAUGCAAGGCAAAGGUGUCACAACCUGACUAGUCUAUAAACUAUAAGAUUUGCCGUAAAUAUACAGAGGUGUUGUUUUCGUGAUUGUUAAAAGUGAUAGUCCUUGUUGUAGGAUGUCACUUAUAUCGACAAUAAACAAUCUACAAUCUU